UCCAUGUGCAUGUAUUUGUACGCACGUUCUAAGAGUUUAGCAUACAUCCGAGGGAGGGUUUUAUUCAGUGAGUACGUGAAUCGGGACCCCCUCAGACCUCUUUUCAUGGCCGAUAUGGUCAUAUCUUCGUUAAGGUCUCUGACCUCAAGCGUGGCCACAUUGAAUCAGACCAUAAAAUCUCGAAGUAUUUCGGUCUCUCCUUAUUUGAUCGAAAAGAAACUAUCCAAGAUUCGUGGCGGCCUCCGGCUAG
RNAcentral lists this long non-coding RNA (250 nucleotides) under Elaeis guineensis (African oil palm). RNAcentral describes it as "long non-coding RNA (EGUI_LNC068172)". The record is from RNAcentral. Lineage: Eukaryota; Viridiplantae; Streptophyta; Magnoliopsida; Arecales; Arecaceae.